UUAAAUUGAAGAGUUUGAUCAUGGCUCAGAUUGAACGCUGGCGGCAGGCCUAACACAUGCAAGUCGAGCGGUAACACAGAGAGCUUGCUCUCGGGUGACGAGCGGCGGACGGGUGAGUAAUGUCUGGGAAACUGCCUGAUGGAGGGGGAUAACUACUGGAAACGGUAGCUAAUACCGCAUAACGUCGCAAGACCAAAGUGGGGGACCUUCGGGCCUCAUGCCAUCAGAUGUGCCCAGAUGGGAUUAGCUAGUAGGUGGGGUAAUGGCUCACCUAGGCGACGAUCCCUAGCUGGUCUGAGAGGAUGACCAGCCACACUGGAACUGAGACACGGUCCAGACUCCUACGGGAGGCAGCAGUGGGGAAUAUUGCACAAUGGGCGCAAGCCUGAUGCAGCCAUGCCGCGUGUAUGAAGAAGGCCUUCGGGUUGUAAAGUACUUUCAGCGAGGAGGAAGGCGUUAAGGUUAAUAACCUUGGCGAUUGACGUUACUCGCAGAAGAAGCACCGGCUAACUCCGUGCCAGCAGCCGCGGUAAUACGGAGGGUGCAAGCGUUAAUCGGAAUUACUGGGCGUAAAGCGCACGCAGGCGGUCUGUCAAGUCGGAUGUGAAAUCCCCGGGCUCAACCUGGGAACUGCAUUCGAAACUGGCAGGCUAGAGUCUUGUAGAGGGGGGUAGAAUUCCAGGUGUAGCGGUGAAAUGCGUAGAGAUCUGGAGGAAUACCGGUGGCGAAGGCGGCCCCCUGGACAAAGACUGACGCUCAGGUGCGAAAGCGUGGGGAGCAAACAGGAUUAGAUACCCUGGUAGUCCACGCCGUAAACGAUGUCGACUUGGAGGUUGUGCCCUUGAGGCGUGGCUUCCGGAGCUAACGCGUUAAGUCGACCGCCUGGGGAGUACGGCCGCAAGGUUAAAACUCAAAUGAAUUGACGGGGGCCCGCACAAGCGGUGGAGCAUGUGGUUUAAUUCGAUGCAACGCGAAGAACCUUACCUACUCUUGACAUCCAGAGAACUUAGCAGAGAUGCUUUGGUGCCUUCGGGAACUCUGAGACAGGUGCUGCAUGGCUGUCGUCAGCUCGUGUUGUGAAAUGUUGGGUUAAGUCCCGCAACGAGCGCAACCCUUAUCCUUUGUUGCCAGCGGUCCGGCCGGGAACUCAAAGGAGACUGCCAGUGAUAAACUGGAGGAAGGUGGGGAUGACGUCAAGUCAUCAUGGCCCUUACGAGUAGGGCUACACACGUGCUACAAUGGCAUAUACAAAGAGAAGCGACCUCGCGAGAGCAAGCGGACCUCAUAAAGUAUGUCGUAGUCCGGAUUGGAGUCUGCAACUCGACUCCAUGAAGUCGGAAUCGCUAGUAAUCGUAGAUCAGAAUGCUACGGUGAAUACGUUCCCGGGCCUUGUACACACCGCCCGUCACACCAUGGGAGUGGGUUGCAAAAGAAGUAGGUAGCUUAACCUUCGGGAGGGCGCUUACCACUUUGUGAUUCAUGACUGGGGUGAAGUCGUAACAAGGUAACCGUAGGGGAACCUGCGGUUGGAUCACCUCCUUA
Molecule: ribosomal RNA, 1542 nt
Filed under: Klebsiella aerogenes KCTC 2190
Lineage: Bacteria; Pseudomonadati; Pseudomonadota; Gammaproteobacteria; Enterobacterales; Enterobacteriaceae
Description: Enterobacter aerogenes KCTC 2190 16S ribosomal RNA
Rfam family: Bacterial small subunit ribosomal RNA
Source: RNAcentral